Molecule: ribosomal RNA, 1249 nt
Filed under: Candidatus Phytoplasma phoenicium
Lineage: Bacteria; Bacillati; Mycoplasmatota; Mollicutes; Acholeplasmatales; Acholeplasmataceae
Description: bacterial SSU rRNA
Rfam family: Bacterial small subunit ribosomal RNA
Source: RNAcentral
GAAACGACUGCUAAGACUGGAUAGGAAAUUAAGAGGCAUCUUUUAAUUUUUAAAAGACCUUUUUCGAAAGGUAUACUUAAAGAGGGGCUUGCGCCACAUUAGUUAGUUGGUAAGGUAAAGGCUUACCAAGACGAUGAUGUGUAGCUGGACUGAGAGGCCGAACAGCCACAUUGGGACUGAGACACGGCCCAAACUCCUACGGGAGGCAGCAGUAAGGAAUUUUUGGCAAUGGAGGAAACUCUGACCGAGCGACGUCGCGUGAACAAUGAAGUACUUCGGUAUGUAAAGUUCUUUUAUUGAAAAAGAAAAAAUAGUGGAAAAACUAUCUUGACAUUAUUCAAUGAAUAAGCCCCGGCUAAUUAUGUGCCAGCAGCCGCGGUAAUACAUAAGGGGCGAGCGUUAUCCGGAAUUAUUGGGCGUAAAGGGUGCGUAGGCGGUUUGAUAAGUCUAUAGUUUAAAUGCAGUGCUUAACGCUGUAGCGCUAUAGAAACUGUCUGACUAGAGUUAGAUAGAGGCAAGCGGAGUUCCAUGUGUAGCGGUAAAAUGCGUAAAUAUAUGGAGGAACACCAGAGGCGUAGGCGGCUUGCUGGGUCUUAACUGACGCUGAGGCACGAAAGCGUGGGGAGCAAACAGGAUUAGAUACCCUGGUAGUCCACGCCGUAAACGAUGAGUACUAAGUGUCGGGUUUCGGCUCGGUACUGAAGUUAACACAUUAAGUACUCCGCCUGAGUAGUACGUACGCAAGUAUGAAACUUAAAGGAAUUGACGGGACCCCGCACAAGCGGUGGAUCAUGUUGUUUAAUUCGAAGAUACACGAAAAACCUUACCAGGUCUUGACAUAAUUUUGCGACAUUAUAGAAAUAUAAUGAAGGUUAUCAGAAUUACAGGUGGUGCAUGGUUGUCGUCAGCUCGUGUCGUGAGAUGUUAGGUUAAGUCCUAAAACGAGCGCAACCCUUGUCGUUAGUUGCGACCACGUAAUGGUGAGCACUUUAGCGAGACUGCCAAUGAAAAAUUGGAGGAAGGUGAGGAUUACGUCAAAUCAUCAUGCCCCUUAUGAUCUGGGCUACAAACGUGAUACAAUGGCUGUUACAAAGAGUAGCUACAACGUGAGUUUUUAGCCAAUCUCAAAAAAACAGUCUCAGUUCGGAUUGAAGUCUGCAACUCGACUUCAUGAAGUUGGAAUCGCUAGUAAUCGCGAAUCAGCAUGUCGCGGUGAAUACGUUCUCGGGUUUGUACACACCGCCCGUCA